AAAUGCGAUAAGUAAUGUGAAUUGCAGAAUUCCGUGAAUCAUCGAAUCUUUGAACGCACAUUGCGCCCUCUGGUAUUCCGGGGGGCAUGCCUGUCCGAGCGUCAUUGCGAACCCCUCAAGCACGGCUUGUGUGAUGGGCCCUCCCGCGUCUUGGUCGUCAAGACGGGCCCGAAAUGCAGUGGCGGCUUCGCGGUUAUCCGAUCAGCCAGAUCGUAUGGGGACUUUCUCUCUGUCACACGCCCGCGGCGCGGACCGACGCCUGUCGACCUUCAUUCAUCGUUUUCUCGGUUGACCUCGGAUCAGGUAGGGAUACCCGCUGAACUUAAGC
RNAcentral lists this unclassified non-coding RNA (328 nucleotides) under plant metagenome. RNAcentral's name for it is "partial contains 5.8S ribosomal RNA, internal transcribed spacer 2, and large subunit ribosomal RNA". The stretch from base 1 to 104 matches the Rfam family "5.8S ribosomal RNA", at positions 51 to 154 of the family's 154-position model. The record is from RNAcentral.